This 701-nucleotide long non-coding RNA is filed under the name Phascolarctos cinereus (koala). Its description in RNAcentral is "lncRNA (ENSPCIG00000026266.2)". The record is from RNAcentral. Lineage: Eukaryota; Metazoa; Chordata; Mammalia; Diprotodontia; Phascolarctidae.
GUGGACUUCAGCCAAGUUUGAACUUUAUUUCCAUUUUUUUUUUUUACUGGAGAGAUUGUUCUGAAAGAUGCAAUCCUAUCUCAUUUAAAGUUUUAUUCUUUUUUUUUUCUGCGUAGGUGUGAAGCUGCCUUGGACUUACAUAUUGUUCUAAGACAGUGCAGGCAAAGGACCUGCUAGUAGAAACUUGCCAUGGUACCUGUUUUCGGUACAUUCUAUAUGGGAUAGAUCCUCAUAAAUGCAGUGUAAACAAGAUCCAGUGUGCUCUGUGAAAAUGAAGUGCCUUCCUGUCUUGGGGACAACUCAGCCUACCCAGCUCUCUGGAGAAACAGAGCCAGAAAGCCCCAUCUUUGAAUUAUGGUACAGAGUACCUGCAGACUUAUUUUUAGGGUAUUCUCAAUGUGAACAGCCUUUUAGAUUCCAAGUGAAUACUGGAUUAAAAAUCUCUCACCCAUUAAAGGAUUAUAUUUUGUCUUUCUUUUUUUUAUCCCCGACGCUAGAUGAAGUGCCUGGCACACAGUGAGUGCUUAAUAAGUAUGACUGAAUGACUCUCAUGUUCAAUUGUUUAUAUAGGCACAUGAUAGGAAGAUGGCAUUAAGGAAGCAAAUGCCUAGUACCAUACACUUUAUCUUAUAUGAGGACCCAUGACUGACAUUCAGAUUGUACUUUCAGGUUUUCAAAGUGCUUACACCGAUGAAUCUCAG